AAAUCUAAUAUACCCCAAUAGCCAUUUUGAGUAUCGGGUAUAAAAAAUUAGAUGACUUAUUGAUGCAUUAACAUGAGCUUGACACCUAUAUCAGGGCAAAUUAACCUUUGCUUUAUUUAUAAAUAAUUUUUUCUUAACCCAAUCUCAAUCACUUUUUUCGUUUUGGUGCAAACCGCUUACGCAGUCCGAUUUGGUUAUCGGAACGUUGCUUCAAAACAAUCAAUUGAAAAUAUAAAGAACUGAUGAGAAAAUGAAACAUAUCGAUACCAAAAAUUUGUGAAUUUGUGAGCCCCUUAAAACGAAAAGUAAACGUAUUGGCUGAAAAUGUAAUCUGCAAAAGUAAGUGAAAAGCGGAGCCUGGCUAAAAGAGACAAAGAAAGUCAAAAAAGUCCACGUAAAAACAGGAGGCGAAAAAUACCCAAAUCCACACAAUGUAAACACCGACAGGUAGAGAAGCCUGGUCCAGUUAUUUAAAAGACGCAAAUUUCUUAGACUCUUUCAGAAAAAAAAGAUCCCAAUGCAUCAAAAAAUCACCCCUACCUUAUAUUCAAAAAUCCAAAGAACAACUUAUUGAAACCAACAUCACAACAAUAUAACUUCAGUUCUAGCCUAUGAGGAAUCACUCCCGGUUUUGAUAGCAUCAGUUGUACAAUAUUAAAAAAUCUACCUGUCCAUCAAUAUGGAAGAGGCUUUCGACAGAGUAGGAACCCAUUGCAUUAUUGAACAACUCUGAAUGGAAACUAGGUUACCUUGGAAACAGAAGAUUCUGAGUACAAGUAAACAACACCUUAUCAGAAGAAAAAGGACUACACAACGGCAUCCCCAAAGAAUACCCGCUGUCAGUGACUCUUUUUCGUAAUCGCUUUUAAUAAAAUAAAUAUAAUAAGCCAGCACAAAUUUUUUACCCACACGAUGUAUCCUGAUAUCCUGACGAUCUCUGUCUUAUUUUCAAUCAAAAGCUGGGCUAUAAUAGAGAAUUAAGCAACAUGCAGAACACAUAAACUUUACUGGCACAAAAAUAUCCAGCGGAAAAUCUUUGCACCUAAAAAACCACAGAUGUAAAUUUAUAGAAAUUAAAAUAAAUGAAAUAAUGAAUCCAACAUUAGUAAAAUCAAACUCAUGUGGACACCGGGAAAUGAAGGAAUCAGAGGAACAUUAACAACAAAUAGGAAAUACGCUAUCAACUACACCAGAUUUAAAUAAGGAAACACAAAAUUUGAUCACGAGCGCCUAUUUAACAAAUUCUUACCGCCGCUUUGUCUAUAUUGCAAUACAAACACAAUUACCAUUGAUACCAUACCAAUUACCAGAAAAUCAGUCGAUAAAAUUGAUUUGUUCCUUCUGGCUACAUAAAUAAUCCGAUCUGAUUCAGAUUCUGCAGUCUAGAUAUGGCACUCUUUACGAUUCUGCGGACGACCAGACGGACAGACAGACUUGGCACUAUCGACUCGGCCACUGAUGCUGAUCACGAAUAUGUAUAUUUAUAGGCGUUACACACAUCCACUUCCCCCACAAAUUUAAUAUACACCUAAUUCCAUUUUUACACGGUUUUUUCACACGGUUUAAAAGUACACAUUUUUUAAUACGAUUUUAUUCCAUUUAGCACGGUUCAAAAUAACACAACACAAAUAGAUAAAACACACAGCUCACAAAGAGCUAGAAACCAAACGAAAACAAGAAAGAGCAUAAAGAGAAUAUUCGCCAUUUUUUUUCUCAACUUCAAACGCGAAUAAAAUGCUUAAAACUACAAAAAAA
Long non-coding RNA from Drosophila pseudoobscura, 1755 nucleotides. RefSeq lists it as uncharacterized. The transcript is spliced from 2 exons. NCBI's taxonomy places the organism in Eukaryota, Metazoa, Arthropoda, Insecta, Diptera, Drosophilidae. The record is from RefSeq and is a predicted model, not a curated record.